RNAcentral lists this ribosomal RNA (304 nucleotides) under uncultured bacterium. RNAcentral describes it as "partial 16S ribosomal RNA". It matches the Rfam family "Bacterial small subunit ribosomal RNA", at positions 506 to 809 of the family's 1533-position model. The record is from RNAcentral.
CAGCAGUCGCCACGGGAAUACGUAGGUGGCAAGCGUUGUCCGGAAUUAUUGGGCGUAAAGCGCGCGCAGGCGGAUAGGUCAGUCUGUCUUAAAAGUUCGGGGCUUAACCCCGUGAUGGGAUGGAAACUGCCAAUCUAGAGUAUCGGAGAGGAAAGUGGAAUUCCUAGUGUAGCGGUGAAAUGCGUAGAUAUUAGGAAGAACACCAGUGGCGAAGGCGACUUUCUGGACGAAAACUGACGCUGAGGCGCGAAAGCCAGGGGAGCGAACGGGAUUAGAUACCCCCGUAGUCCCUGUCUCUUAUACA